Molecule: ribosomal RNA, 253 nt
Filed under: uncultured bacterium
Lineage: Bacteria
Description: partial 16S ribosomal RNA
Rfam family: Bacterial small subunit ribosomal RNA
Source: RNAcentral
UACGAAGGGUGCAACCGUUGCUCGGAAUUACUGGGCGUAAAGCGCACGUAGGCGGCUUCUUAAGUCGGUGGUGAAAUCCUGGAGCUCAACUCCAGAACUGCCUUCGAUACUGUUUGGCUUGAGACCGGAAGAGGUUAGUGGAACUGCGAGUGUAGAGGUGAAAUUCGUAGAUAUUCGCAAGAACACCAGUGGCGAAGGCGGCUGACUGGUCCGGUUCUGACGCUGAGGCGCGAAAGCGUGGGGAGCAAACAGG